Long non-coding RNA from Triticum dicoccoides, 695 nucleotides. RefSeq lists it as uncharacterized. The record is from RefSeq and is a predicted model, not a curated record. The transcript is spliced from 3 exons. NCBI's taxonomy places the organism in Eukaryota, Viridiplantae, Streptophyta, Magnoliopsida, Poales, Poaceae.
UCUCCCUUUCUCUUCCCGGCGCCGCCACCCCUCUCCUCGCCGCGCCGCGCCGCAAGCUGGACUCGUCGGGUUCGGCACCGACGGCGACGGCCGACGCCGCUUUCCCUCAGCACAGCGGACGCGUCUCCCCUGGUUUCUCACCGAAUAACAUGAGCAGAGCCCUGCCGUCGCAAGAAUGGACAAGGAAAAGAGGAAGAAGAAGAGCUUGAUUUCCAUUAUAAAGACUACGCCGCCUGUCCCGGCCUUCCGGGAAGCAGAAGGGGAAGGGCAAUGCAGCUACUGCGUCGCUGCCGAGGAAGCGGGCGAAAGAUUACAGCAAUGUCCUGCUCGCUGAGUUGUUGUUUAGGGUAAAAUAAACUCCGCAGCGUCGAUGUCUCGCUGAUCCCACUGACGCUGGUGUGCUUUCUGCGAUCGCCGCUGCCUCCGGCUUCACAAACGACUCCGAGAGGGAGGCUAUAUCUUCACCAGCAAUGAAGCAUGAUAAGCAAGCGGAGGAGGAUGAUGAAAAGGAGGACAAGGAUGAUCAAGAUGCUCUGUUUGAGGAGGAAGAUUCUCAUUUUGAUGUCAAAGCGUUAAGUGUUAUGCUGUACAAAAUUGCAUUGUUUGGCUGUCAACGUUUAAUAUUUUUGCUGUAUAAAGUUCAAAGGAGGUACUGUCCAAAAUUAAAAAGCAAUGCUGCCCAAUUCUUUGUUUGA